RNAcentral lists this ribosomal RNA (744 nucleotides) under Isozulia nr. soluta JRC-2010. Its description in RNAcentral is "eukaryotic LSU rRNA". It matches the Rfam family "Eukaryotic large subunit ribosomal RNA", at positions 1313 to 1903 of the family's 3401-position model. Lineage: Eukaryota; Metazoa; Arthropoda; Insecta; Hemiptera; Cercopidae. The record is from RNAcentral.
UGAAAAUGGAUGGCGCUGUAGCGUCGUGCCUAUACUCGGCCGUCAACGGCACAGGGGGCGGUACCUUCGCGGGUACCGGGCCGUUAUGCCUUGACGAGUAGGAGGGUCGCGGCGGUGUGCGCAGAAGGGUCUGGGCGUGAGCCUGCCUGGAGCCACCGUCGGCGCAGAUCUUGGUGGUAGUAGCAAAUACUCCAGCGAGGACCUGGAGGACUGACGUGGAGAAGGGUUUCUUGUGAACAGCUGUUGCACAAGAGUCAGUCGAUCCUAAGCCCUAGGAGAAAUCCUAUGUCGAUGGGGAGCCGUUGAAACAUAGAAGACGCGCCGCGAUGCGGCGAGAGAGAGAGAGACGCUUUUCUUUCUCCAGCGUUGCGCGCUCUUGUAUUGGAAGGCGACCCACGGGGCGAAAGGGAAUCCGGUUCCUAUUCCGGAACCCGGCUGCGGAACCGUUCAUAAGCGGGCCCUCAUCCGAGAGCUCGACGGGGCAACCCGAAGAGACCCGGAGACGCCGGCGGGAGGUCCGGAGAGAGUUUUCUUUUCUCUAUAAGCGUUCGAGUUCCCUGGAAGCCUAUAGCAGGGAGAUAGGGUUUGGAACGCGAAGAGCACCGCAGUUGCGGCGGUGUCCGGAUCUUCCCCUCGGACCUUGAAAAUCCGGGAGAGGGCUACGCGGAAUGUCCGCGCCGGAUCGUACCCAUAUCCGCAGCAGGUCUCCAAGGUUAAGAGCCUCUAGUCGAUAGAAUAAUGUAG